Manis javanica (Malayan pangolin) is the source of this 2620-nucleotide non-coding RNA. The record is from RefSeq and is a predicted model, not a curated record. NCBI's taxonomy places the organism in Eukaryota, Metazoa, Chordata, Mammalia, Pholidota, Manidae.
CUGUCAUGCCAUAGUUAUCAUAUAGUGGUUAAUAUCAGUUUCCAUGCUAUCCAUGUGGUUCCAUUAAUCCUUCUGCUCAUGCCUUAUAAAUACCUAGAAAACUAUACCAUGUUUAAUUAUGUUUAUCCUUAAACUGUGUUUUUUGUCUGAAAGGUGAACUAUGCCCUUCUUGUUCUUGCUUUUUACAUAUAUGCCUGCUUAUCUUUCUGAUGCAUUUUUGCAGAUGCACUUUAGGAUUUUUAAAAAUUUGAAAACAUGAUUUUUUCACUGGCAUUUGUGCCAGAACUUAAUUAAAACUUUAUAUUAGUAAGGAAGAAAAAACACAUUUUUCCGAUAUUAGGUCUUCUCAUCCAAGACGCUUCUCAUUAUCUAAGCUUUAUUCAGUGUUUGUUAAGUCCUGUUUCAUAUUUUUCUUCUAACUAGCCCACACACUUUGUAGCUUCUCACUAAAGAGUUGUGGCAAAGAACCCCAAUGCCCACAUUUUUCCUCCUCCUGUUCACAGAGGAAGACGACCUUUCCCAGGUUCCCUCAGUGUAAAGUGGGACUAUGAGUCUGGCUCCUGGUCAGCAGAAAGUGGAUCCAAGUAAAAUAUAGUCUCCAGUUCUCCUGUUGUCUCUGAGUGGAUGCAGAAGACCCCAUGGAAGACUAAGGCUAAAACGAUGGCAAAGCUACUGGAGGGAUGGAGUUUUGGUCACCAUACACUGUUACGAGGAAGACUGCCUGUUAAAAGUCAUUUGUAUUGUGAUGUGAGAGAGAAAACUUUCUGUCUUCAGCAACCGAGAAACUCUGCAAUAAUUAUAAGAAAAUGGAAAUGAAGACCAUCUCUGACCUGAUCCUGACUUUAUUGAAAAAGACAUAGUGUUUUCUGCUAUUCAGUGUUCUAAUAUAAAGAUCUAUAUUAUUUGUCAUGAUAAUUUUAUACUUUUUUUUCAAGAAUGGGUAUUGAAUAUGAGAAUAUGAUAUACAUUGUUUUCCUCUGACCUAUUCAAUAAACUGUAUACAUUGAUUUUCUAACAUUAAACUAUUCUCCUAUUCCCUAGUUGGUUUUGCUAAUUCAAUUCUUGGAAAAUAAUGUUGUCUUCCAUUUACUGAUUGAGGAACUUAUGUAUCUACUUUUAUGGAAUUUAUACAUCUGUAAUUUAGUUAAAAUUUGAGCUUCAGGUCGGUUUGUAUAUAUUAAAUUUUGCUGUCCAUAUUGUUUUGAGUUUCACUAAAUUCCAGAGUUUUUCACUGAUAAUCUAGUUUGGAGUUAAAGUUGUUCCCUUGUUGUGGCCCAGUGAUACUGAAUAGUUGAAUAUUAUGAAGUAACAUAAAUAAGCAUUAACAGAUUUGUCCCCAUUCUGCAUAAGAAUUUGACCUCCAGUAAAGCUUCUAGAUCUGAGUCCCUGAGAUAUGAUAGAAGAAUGUCAUCAGGCCCCAGCCACACUGCUCAUUGUGACACUCAGCUGUAAACAUGCAUCUGAGCUAGGAGAAUUAUAAAUGCUGAGAGAGUCACACACUUGGCCUUCCCUGAGUGCUCUGACUCCUAUCAUUGGAAUCUCCCUUGCAGACACCCUAGAAAUAUGCCUAGCAGAUAUUACGAGAGAUUUUGGCUCCUGUGCAUCCUGAGGCUUUCAAGUCAAGGGUUCACCCAAAUCAACCAAUGAGUUUCUCAUCUCUUUGCUCCUGGGGACAAAAAUCUAUUUGUGGACUACUGCAGGGAAUACCACAGAAGGGAACGGACAGCAUGUUGCGCUUCUCGUCCCGUAUCUUCCUGAGGGAUUGUGUGCCAAGAUGGGCCAACGGUAAUCUGAUGUUGAACUGAGCUUCAGAAGACCGUUUGAUGGAUGUUGGACACUGUCCUGAAGCACAGUGUCCUUCCUCCCCAGGGCCCUAAUGUAGCUCAUGGAUGGAAUCACUAGAGACCACACUGAUGAUUCUGUGACGCAGCACUUCCGUGCCUUGCUGCCUCAGUCCACAGUCAGUAUGCGACGGAGGCUCAUCACUGUGUUGGGGGCUGGUCACUCCACCUCACAUUUCCGCUUCUUGUGGUACGGCUUUCACUUCCUCCUGUCUGGAGUACUUGUAGCUGCCUUGAGGAAUGCCCAUCACUCCACACUGACAAGAAAUUAGCCGUGGUUACUGUAAAGCCUUUAUUUGAUAAGUUCAAUGCCUGAAUUACUUGUGGCUUUAUUUUCAUUGUCUGAUGUUAUUUUGGUUAUCAGUUAUUUGAUCUUGUUUUCAGACAUGCCUGGUGAUUUUGUUGGAGUGUCCGAGUUUUCAAUUUAAAUGACUGUAUUUUGCAUUUCUCGAAGUUCUUUUGGCUAUUUUGCAAAUCUGUCUUUUUCUUUGAUUAUAAUGUCUAUUUCUUCUUUUACAUUUAGGGUUAAUUAAAAAUAAUUCAUAUUUUAAAAUAAUAUCAUACUUAGUUGGCUUCUUUGAAGUUCUUUAAAUAUCAUAUUUCAGAUUUUUAGCACUAGGAUAAUCUUCUGGUAUAGUUUAUUAACUAUCAUAUGCUAAAUUAAGCCAUGCAGGCAAAAAAUUCCAAAUAUAAAUGUUUUUUUUUUUUUUUGAGAGAGAGCAUCUCUCAUAUUUACUGAUCAAAUGGUUGUUAACAACAAUAAAAUUCUGUAUAGGGGA